CGAGGACGAACGCUGGCGGCGUGCUUAACACAUGCAAGUCGAACGGACUAUAGCAAUAUAGUUAGUGGCGAACGGGUGAGUAACACGUGACUAAUCUGCCCCGGACUGGGGGAACAACGGAGGGAAACUUCCGCUAAUACCGCAUGUUGAUGUGGGAUCGCAUGGUCCUGCUUUGAAAGAUUUAUCGGUCCGGGAUGAGGUCGCGCCCCAUUAGCUUGUUGGCGGGUAAUGGCCCACCAAGGCGACGAUGGGUAGCUGGUCUGAGAGGAUGAUCAGCCACACUGGGACUGAGAUACGGCCCAGACUCCUAUGGGAGGCAGCAGUGAGGAAUAUUGCGCAAUGGGCGAAAGCCUGACGCAGCAACGCCCGCGUGAAGGAUGAAGGUCCUUUGGAUUGUAAACUUCUGUAGGGAGGGACGAAUGGCUUGGUUUUGCCGAGUCUGACGGUACCUCCAAAGUAAGCACCGGCUAACUCCGUGCCAGCCGCCGC
Molecule: ribosomal RNA, 489 nt
Filed under: uncultured bacterium
Lineage: Bacteria
Description: bacterial SSU rRNA
Rfam family: Bacterial small subunit ribosomal RNA
Source: RNAcentral